Oryctolagus cuniculus (rabbit) is the source of this 2757-nucleotide non-coding RNA. The record is from RefSeq and is a predicted model, not a curated record. NCBI's taxonomy places the organism in Eukaryota, Metazoa, Chordata, Mammalia, Lagomorpha, Leporidae.
GCUGAGGCUACUGACGUCUGGCUCUUAAUAAGAGUGUGAGGCUCUGAUCCAGAAACGCAAAGAAAUUCUACGGGAGCAAAAGCUCUCCUGCAGAUCAGAGAAUACAAGCAGAGGCUUGGCGUGUGCACCGGAGGAGGGAAGAGAGCAGUGGGGAUGCAAGGCCUGUCGCUGUCACUCGCCACCCGCCCAAAGGCCCUGCCGCGAAAGAGGAGUAAGGAGCAGCCCUCACCUGCGAGGCCCCAGGGGGCGCUGCCGAAUCACUGACGUCAGUCUGCAGGGGUGCCCCGUGCCAGGUGGACUGGAAGCGGUUUUGGAAGCGUCCCUUUGCAUCUCUGUACCUCUGUAAGGGCCUGGGGACAGCGGUGCAUGUGUGGCUGCCACGAAAGCUUGCGGGUUCACUGGGGACCUCCUUGAAGGGUCAGUGACUUGGGAACCUGCACUCCUGCUGCCAGGUGACGCGGGUAACAGCAGUUCAUCGUCUCACAGCUCUAGAGGCCAGAAGCUGAGGGCCGGGGGUCGGCGGUGUGGCCGUUGUGAGCCUGGCUGGGGAGGAGCUGCGGUCCCUUGGCUGGUAGAUGCCGCCUGUCCCAGCGUCUUCAGCUCCUCUCUGUGUGUGUCUGAGCCCUGAUACCUUCUUUCGACAAAGACAGUGGUCCCAGUGGAGCGGGGCUCUCCCCAGGGACCUCGGUGUCCUUUGAUUCCCUCUGUAAAGCCCUCGUCUCCAAGUACAGUUGCAUCCCAGGCACCGGGGGCUAGGACGUGUUAGGGAGACAUGAGCGUCUGUUUUGGGGGUGUGGGGGUCGUGAUUCCCCACAUAAUAGCGCCUACACCCUUGCUGUCAUUGUCCACAGAGUCCACUUCUGUCUUUAUAUGAUCAUAGUCUGGUCUUUCCACCUUCAGGUUGGUGGCUUUUCUCCUACUUUAUUCUGUGUGGCUUCCAGGUGGAGUUUGCUCUUGUUGCCACUACUGUUUCGGCUUGAGUUUCUCUUGCUUUCAAGUAACAGGAACCAGUUGGACCUUAGUCCUCGGCUCACCUUAUUUUCUGUUCCCAUCUGCGAAGAAGCAAGUUCCCUGCUAUUGACUCUGGCCUUCAUUUCUGGUAGUAUAUGGGGUCCACAGUGAGGCUGGGACAAAGGGCCUGAAGACCAGAUUGCAAGGCGGGUCGGUUAGUCUCUAGAAGGGUGUCCUUGUUUGACAUUCUUGUUUUUUAAGAUUUAUGUAUUUAUUUGGAAGAGCUACAGAAAGAGGGAUGGAGAGGGAGAGAAAGAGGGAGAGGGAGAGGGAGAGAGAGAGAGAGAGAGAGAGAGGUCUUCCAUCCACUGGUUCACUCCCCACAUGACCACAUGGCCAGGACUGAGCCAGGAGCUUCCUCCUGAACUCCAAUGUUGGUAGCAGGGGCCCAAACAUCUGGGCUUUCGCAGGUGCAUUAGCAGAGAGUUGGAUCAAAAGUGGGACAGCCAGGACUCGAGCUGGCGCACAUACGGGAUGCCAGCGUGGCAGGUUGCGACAUUUACCCACUACGCCACAGCACUGGCCCAAGGUUUGUCCUCCUAACUCUGUUAUUGUACAGCUCAUUAUCUUUCAUUAAAUCAAAAUUCUAUGGCCCUGGGUUUUCUUGCUUGAGAAAGCAUGUGUCUAAUAAUGGGAUACUUAGGAAAAUAAAAUGGGCUGGCUAAGUGACUGCAGGUGAAAAGUGAGACAGCACAACACAUUGUUACGUCGCUGUGGUUACUGGCAUUAUUUUAUCUGAAUGGAUCCUUCUACAAAUUUCUUUGACUGCAAGAGGGGUUACUAGACGUUUUAGCCACACUAGAAAUUGGCCAGCCUUACUAAGUACUUAGCCAAAGACAGGAGUAGGGCGCUGUGAUAAUCUGCAUUACGUUUUUACCUUUGUCAACACUUCCUUUAUUUGAGGGAGGUGUGGUGUUGGGGAAAUGUGCUAUUGAGGAAGUAGAAGUGUUUACAACAUGAAGAGUGAACAGGAAUGGUUACUCUUGGCUUCUGAGUGCAGGCAGAUUGAAUUCCUGUCUUUGUCUCAGACGUCCCCCGAAAACCCACAAACACAACAGCGAAAGUGCGUUUAAGGCACUCACCCGCAAGAAUAAAGAGGGUAAGAGGGGAAUUCACCUAUCAGAGCUGACUCCCUUGCAGCUUUGCAAAACGAUGUGGGAUAGGGAAAAGGCUUGUUUCUGCAGUUUUCAAAAAUCUAACAAAUACUGUGCUAUAAAGAACGCGUGAAUUUCUUAAUAUUGGAUGCCACGAAUGUCCCUGUUUAUGUGUGUGUGUCAGUAACAACACACCAGAACAGGAGAAUACACUUGCAUAGGGGCCAGACAGGCCUCCCCUGCCUUUGGGUGCCGGCAGACAUGGCCCUGAGCGAUGGGAGACCCAGAGGCCUGGACUCCUCAGCCAAUUAGGGUCAGACACCCGGUACAGCCGCACGACUCCACCUGCCACGCAGCCCAGGCCGCAGCCCUCUUCCUCCGGAGGUCAACAAGAGCAGCGUUAUUCAGGGCAGGAGACACCUCUGUCGCUUCGGCAGCCACAGACUUGCAGGCUCCCUGGCCUGGAAGCCCAGUCACAAAUGCUUCUGGCAGAUGUCGUGAAGAAAGAGUGUCUGAUGCUGCAUGUUAACUGUGUGUCUUCAUUUGAAAAGAUGAAAACGACUGUCAGGUCGGGGAUGAACCGUAAGUAUAUUUUCUUUUUUAAAAAAACUUUUAUUUAAUAAAUAUAAAUUUUGAAAGUACAACCUUUGGA